Long non-coding RNA from Cyprinus carpio (common carp), 1051 nucleotides. The record is from Ensembl. Lineage: Eukaryota; Metazoa; Chordata; Actinopteri; Cypriniformes; Cyprinidae.
AUUUCUUUCAUCACAUUCAUACUUUAUAGACCUUACUUUUUAAAUGGUUGUGAAGUUCUCUUCAUCAGCUGUAGCACCUACUAGACAGUAUAUGAUAAAAAAUAGUAAAGCGUCCAAUGCACAAUUUAUAAUCUUGGUCAAAUCAGUAGGUCAUUCAGGUGUUUUUUGCCUGUUGUUUUAUGAAUACUGUGUAUUAUUACAAUGCUCAUUUGAUGUGCUGCUUUUAACUUAGAAUAUAAUAAUGACAUAGGCAUAAUAUUCAGAUAGAGACAGAACCUGAUAGAAUGGAGCUGCUAUGAGGGCUGCACAGCGAUGCUGUAAACGGGUGUUUUACUGGAUUUCAACACUCCUGAAACACAUCAGAAGCCAGGACUGCAACUUCAGUCAAUCCAUUUUAGAUCAUGGGGACGGACAUGUUGAGAUCACAUGACCAGCUGAAUAUUACUCACUUCAUCUCAGUAACCACCCAGUUAUGGAUGUCUGCAAAUAGGGCAUUUCGAGCUGUGGAACUGGGGCCAAGGCAUAUGGAGAGGUUGGGUCAGCCCACCCAUGCUGCUGAGUCAGCCCACAUCCUGGGUCCUGUGCCCUCAUCUCUUGGCACUUGUGCGUGGCUUGGAAGGAAACCAAGAUGGCUGCUGCAUGUAGGGCCACAGUGGCCAUUAACAGUCAAUUCUGCCAGUCGAACUCAGGACAAGAGCAAUUCAUCUGCACAUCCGGACACUUUGCCAGUGAGCUGUCUAGGGACCAUCUCGCUGUGUCUACAUGCUGUGGGUGAGUUUAGGUCAGGACCUUUGACCUGAGGUCUUUCCUGCUCUGGGUCACUUGUCCUCAGGAUGCUCCUCUUUCAGACGCUGGGAUGCAUUUCUCUCAUUCACUUAUGCAAUGCCAGCAGGAGGUCUGUCUAAAUCACAUUCAUCCUAGUCUUGCUUAUUCCAUAGGUCACUGCAUGAGAUAAGUAAACAAAUGUUUAUUUAUUUGAUUGUAUGUUGUUGAGUCAUAGUAUGAGCUGUGGCCUAACAAUCAACCCAACCUUGUUCCCCCUUUUCACAUA